RNAcentral lists this long non-coding RNA (911 nucleotides) under Macaca mulatta (Rhesus monkey). RNAcentral's name for it is "lncRNA (ENSMMUG00000057813.1)". The record is from RNAcentral. Lineage: Eukaryota; Metazoa; Chordata; Mammalia; Primates; Cercopithecidae.
CCCAGCCACGGCCCUGAUCCGGAGCCUCUGUUACCUGGGGCAGCAGAAGGGAAUGAGAAGACAGCUGUAAAUCAUGUCCGGCCUGCUGAUGACAUUCUCCUCUCUUAGCUAAAGGACUGAGGAUGGCUUUUCUGUACCAGCCUGGGCCUGCUGAGCUGACCGUGUUUGAAGGGCCAGUCGUGGGCUAAGCUAGGCAAGCUGAGAUCAGUCCUGCAGGAACCUGAGGUCAUCACAGGAUGUGAAGACAGAGGUCAGGAGCUUGUGGGACCAGGAAUGCGCGAGGAGAUCGAAAACACUGAGCAUUAGGAAACUGUUACCUGGAGGAAAGGCCCAUUGAGGAAGGUACCGUGGUGACCCAAAAACAGCCCUGGAGGAAACGUGCCAUCCAGAGCUGGCUAGGACCUACUGAUGGGUGUCCUGGGAAAAUGGCCCCGCUCCACUCCCCACCCCGGGACCUCUGUGAGUGACCUUGAUAGCUACAAGUGGAGAUGGGUCUUUGAGCUAUCAGAUGGAAGGCUGUCUCGCAGACCUAUGCUGGAUUUUACAUAAAUAAGAAAUGUAAGUGUAACUUUGUUGUGCUAAGUCACUGAGAUUUUUGGGUUUGUUUGUUAUUACAGCAUAGCUUAACACUGCUCUGACUAAUGCCAUAUACAAAGCUUAAACACGUGUGGGGGUUCAUUUCUUCAUCUGCCGGCACCCAAGAAGAAUUGCUUUCCUAAAAACUUAAAAUGUAUAUAAAUUAUAUGUACUUAUUAUGGAAAAUUAUGAAAUACAAAUAAACAAAAAAGAAAGUAAAAAUCAUCUAUAAUCCUCUUGGUCAGAGUUAUCUACUGCUAACAUUUUGGUGUCCAGACAUCAUGUUUUUUCUAUGUAUAUAGAAAUAUAAAUUUAUGUAUAUAUGCACAUAAACU